Molecule: long non-coding RNA, 1173 nt
Filed under: Cairina moschata (Muscovy duck)
Lineage: Eukaryota; Metazoa; Chordata; Aves; Anseriformes; Anatidae
Description: domestica (muscovy Duck (domestic type)) lncRNA (ENSCMMG00000010206.1)
Source: RNAcentral
AUGGUGGCUAGGAGCAUCUUGCCCCGGAGCGUGCUGGGAGUUGUGGUCUUUGGGCUCUGGCCUUCUGGUCAGCCACGUUGGUUUCCGGAACAUGCUGGGAACGGUAGUUUCAAGUUGCCACUCGGCACGGGGCCAUUUAGGAUGGGCAGUUACUUCCUCCGCGCCAGUGGAGCGGGGUGCCUUUUCUGGCCGUUUCCGUCUGGUGUUCCUUUAAGGAGCAGACGGCCUGGGAAGCCGUGCCUGCCGUUCUGCUUCCGCCCAUGCACGGAGCGGGCUGGCGCGGCAUCGAACAGCGAGCGGUGCAGUAGGCGAAGAGUCGUUGCAUGGCGCGGCGCUCUCUGCUGCCACCUGCUGGCGAGAGGGAGGUACUGCAGGCGGAGACGACGCGCAUGCGCUGUAGUAAUUGCCAAGAUUGGUGCCCCGCAGCAUGCCGGGAGUUGUGGUCUUUGGGCUCCGAGCUUACAUUCGGCCACUUUGGCUUCUGUGGCAUGCUGGGAAAUGCUGCUCGGCUUCCAAGCCAGGAGCAACACGGAGACGGGUAGGAAGGGUAGUUGUUUCCUCCGCACCAGUGGACCGGCGUGCCUCUUUGCCGCUUUCAUGUGGUUUUCCGCAGGGAUCCCACUGCUUGUGUUAACGAUAAAACGUUUUGAGAAGCCGUGCCUGGUUCCAUGCAUGCGCGGAGUCGGACGGCGAAAAAGCAGUACAGCCGGCCGGGCCCGGCGUGCAUGCGCAGUAGUGGUGCGUCGCCCUGUGCCGCCACCUGCUGGUGGGAACGUGAUACUGCAGCAGCAGGUAAACCUUAGGAGGAACUGGUCAAAGGAAACAGUGCUUUCUGGAACUGUCAAGUUCUUGUUCAGCAACUCAGUGACUAGUUUGAUCUACUUCUCAGAUGUAGAGGUGUCUCGCACAGGCUCAGUGGGGCCAAACUGCACUCAGAAGAGCAGCACGAGAAGGGCAGGCUGGUCAUGAGCUGGGUUGGAGCAGAACAGCCAAGUAGCACAAGGUGACUAUGAAAGGUGUCCAUCUUGCUUUGUGGGUGCCAUGGCAGGCUCUCCACAGAAGUGGCUGAGGAUUUGAGAUAAGGCCAGAGAGUGACAAGGAGCAGCACGUGCAGGGAUGGUUUCCAGGCGCUGCGGUGGCUUUCUCUUCUGUUCAUCAGGUGCCACAGGCAAG